GAAGGGCCAUCGCUCAACGGAUAAAAGCUACCCCGGGGAUAACAGGCUUAUCUCCCCCAAGAGUCCACAUCGACGGGGAGGUUUGGCACCUCGAUGUCGGCUCGUCUCAUCCUGGGGCUGGAGUAGGUCCCAAGGGUUGGGCUGUUCGCCCAUUAAAGAGGCACGCGAGCUGGGUUCAGAACGUCGUGAGACAGUUCGGUCCCUAUCCGUCGCAGGCGUAGGAAAUUUGAGAGGAGCUGUCCUUAGUACGAGAGGACCGGGAUGGACGCACCUCUGGUGCACCAGUUGUCACGCCAGUGGCACAGCUGGGUAGCUAUGUGCGGAAUGGAUAAGCGCUGAAGGCAUCUAAGCGCGAAGCCAACCUCAAGAUAAGAUUUCCCACUUCAUAGAAGGUAAGAUCCCAGAAAGACUAUCUGGUUGAUAGGCCCAGGGUGUAAGUGCAGCAAUGCAUUCAGCUGAUGGGUACUAAUAGAUCGAGGACUUGACCAA
RNAcentral lists this non-coding RNA (489 nucleotides) under Peptoclostridium litorale DSM 5388. Its description in RNAcentral is "Bacterial large subunit ribosomal RNA". It matches the Rfam family "Bacterial large subunit ribosomal RNA", at positions 2436 to 2925 of the family's 2925-position model. The record is from Rfam by way of RNAcentral. Lineage: Bacteria; Bacillati; Bacillota; Clostridia; Peptostreptococcales; Peptoclostridiaceae.